Molecule: long non-coding RNA, 543 nt
Filed under: Helianthus annuus (common sunflower)
Lineage: Eukaryota; Viridiplantae; Streptophyta; Magnoliopsida; Asterales; Asteraceae
Source: RNAcentral
CAAAAGCGAGACAAUAUUUUAUUUAGAUAAUUGCAUAAAUAUACAUCAAGCUCUUAUUACUCUUGCACUUAUAUUACAUAACUCCCUUAUGUCGUUUAUUCUUCAAUUCAAGUUAACAACGACUCUCAACACACAAACACUUGACUUAAGCUGAAGCCCUGAUCCCUUGGCCCCUGGAAAAACUUGGUGCAAACAAAACCGUCUCCCUCUGGCUAAACUUGAGCUGCUGAGCUUCCUCUCGAGAUAGCUGAUACGCAUUCGCCACAACGUCAACCGGCAUGCUGCUGAUGGCGGACACACGCCCUGCAAGGUUUGCUAUCAUGGCAUUAUCAUUAGUCUUGAAAGACACCCACCUGCUUCCUUGUUCAUUGGCUCUCUUGAUCACCGCAAAGUUCUGCGGGAUCACCACCACCUGUCCCUCACGGAGCUCGUUGUCGAAAACUGAGUUUCCUUGGUUGUCGACGAUUUGUACCCUCAAGGCUCCCUCGGUUACGUAGAGAAGAUUGUGGGCGUUGAUUGUCCAGUGUGGGGAUUGGAUGGCAU